UCCAACGAGCCAAGUCUCGUCGCAAUCCGAUGCUCCUACGUCGAGAACGAGCCAAAAUACAAACAGUCGACGGUGAAAUUCAGCAAACAACGUCUCUUCGAGUUGAAGUAGUAAGAACUUGACCAAAAAUCCAAAGAAAUGCUGAAUACUCACCUCGACAACACCGAGCACCGCUGCGACAGCAAAACGGCGAAAACCUCCGCUCGCCCGGCCUCCUCGUGCUACCACGGUGUCAAACACGUGCUCGAACGGUUCCGCGGCGCGACGUCGGCGACGGAUUCUCCAACCGAGCUCUCCCCGGUCGAACCAAGCUAGAGAGAGAGAGGAAGAAGGAGCAGCAAGAACACUCCCUCUCAAGAGCUCUACGCCUGUAUAUAGAAGUAGGUGGGGUGGUGAUACAAACGAGGGAGAGAAAAGACCAAAACACCCUCUCACCUACCCUGGUGUACCGGUACACGGGAUCGCGUACCGGUACAGGAAGCCAACCCGAGAGCAGUACGCGC
Molecule: long non-coding RNA, 503 nt
Filed under: Ananas comosus (pineapple)
Lineage: Eukaryota; Viridiplantae; Streptophyta; Magnoliopsida; Poales; Bromeliaceae
Description: long non-coding RNA (ACOM_LNC038206)
Source: RNAcentral